AUUGAACGCUGGCGGCAGGCCUAACACAUGCAAGUCGAGCGGAUGAAGGGAGCUUGCUCCCGGAUUCAGCGGCGAACGGGUGAGUAACGCGUGGGAAUCUGCCUGGUAGUGGGGGAUAAC
RNAcentral lists this ribosomal RNA (120 nucleotides) under uncultured bacterium. RNAcentral describes it as "partial 16S ribosomal RNA". It matches the Rfam family "Bacterial small subunit ribosomal RNA", at positions 30 to 147 of the family's 1533-position model. The record is from RNAcentral.